RNAcentral lists this ribosomal RNA (484 nucleotides) under uncultured bacterium. RNAcentral's name for it is "partial 16S ribosomal RNA". It matches the Rfam family "Bacterial small subunit ribosomal RNA", at positions 30 to 507 of the family's 1533-position model. The record is from RNAcentral.
ACUGAACGCUCGCGGGAUGCUUUACACAUGCAAGUCGAACGGCAGCGCGGACUUCGGUCUGGCGGCGAGUGGCGAACGGGUGAGUAAUGUAUCGGAACGUGCCCAGUAGCGGGGGAUAACUACGCGAAAGCGUAGCUAAUACCGCAUACGCCCUACGGGGGAAAGCAGGGGAUCGUAAGACCUUGCACUAUUGGAGCGGCCGAUAUCGGAUUAGCUAGUUGGUGAGGUAACGGCUCACCAAGGCGACGAUCCGUAGCUGGUUUGAGAGGACGACCAGCCACACUGGGACUGAGACACGGCCCAGACUCCUACGGGAGGCAGCAGUGGGGAAUUUUGGACAAUGGGGGCAACCCUGAUCCAGCCAUCCCGCGUGUGCGAUGAAGGCCUUCGGGUUGUAAAGCACUUUUGGCAGGAAAGAAACGUCGCGGGCUAAUACUCCGUGGAACUGACGGUACCUGCAGAAUAAGCACCGGCUAACUACGUG